Molecule: small RNA, 284 nt
Filed under: Arabidopsis thaliana (thale cress)
Lineage: Eukaryota; Viridiplantae; Streptophyta; Magnoliopsida; Brassicales; Brassicaceae
Description: ATSL113260
Source: RNAcentral
GUUCUUUUUACCACUCCAAAUGCAGCGUGUUUAGGUGCUAUCGGUUGUUAAUUAUUGAUAACUAUCAUACAAACUGGUGGAAACUGCUCUGGAUCAUUCAAAAUCGCUAUAUUUCAAGAACUCUUUUUUUCUGUAAACGUUUGCGGUUACAAACAGUAGUUAAAUUAAAAUAUUUUUAAAAUUAACAUUAUUUAUAAUUAAAACAAUAUUUAUCUAAUCGUAUAUAUACAUAUAAUAUCUUUCAUCAUCAUUGUAUGCAUGUUUUUAAAAAUCCUAAUCAAUAU